AAUGAACGCUGGCGGCGUGCCUAACACAUGCAAGUCGGAUGUGCCGCAAGGUGCAUGGCAGACGGGUGCGUAACGCGUAGGGAAUCUACCUUUUUGUGGGGAAUAACGCUCCGAAAGGAGUGGUAAUACCGCAUGAGACCGUGAGCUGGGAUGUUCACGGUGAAACCUGGGGACCGCAAGGCCUGGGGCAAAAAGAGGAUCCUGCGUCUGAUUAGCUAGUUGGCGGGGUAAUGGCCCACCAAGGCGACGAUCAGUAGCCGGCCUGAGAGGGUGAUCGGCCACACUGGAACUGAGACACGGUCCAGACUCCUACGGGAGGCAGCAGUGGGGAAUUUUGCGCAAUGGACGAAAGUCUGACGCAGCAACGCCGCGUGGGUGAUGAAGGUCUUCGGACUGUAAAACCCUGUCGUCAGGGACGAAGGUGGCAGUGUUAAUAGCGCUGUUACUUGACGGUACCUGGAGAGGAAGCCCCGGCUAACUCUGUG
This 485-nucleotide ribosomal RNA is filed under the name uncultured bacterium. RNAcentral's name for it is "partial 16S ribosomal RNA". It matches the Rfam family "Bacterial small subunit ribosomal RNA", at positions 29 to 507 of the family's 1533-position model. The record is from RNAcentral.